Molecule: ribosomal RNA, 305 nt
Filed under: uncultured bacterium
Lineage: Bacteria
Description: bacterial SSU rRNA
Rfam family: Bacterial small subunit ribosomal RNA
Source: RNAcentral
UUCACCUACGGGAGGCAGCAGUGAGGAAUAUUGGUCAAUGGGCGCGAGCCUGAACCAGCCAAGUCGCGUGAGGGAAGACGGUCCUAUGGAUUGUAAACCUCUUUUGUCGGGGAGCAAAAGACGCCACGCGUGGCGUUCCGAGAGUACCCGAAGAAAAAGCAUCGGCUAACUCCGUGCCAGCAGCCGCGGUAAUACGUAGGGAGCAAGCGUUAUCCGGAUUUAUUGGGUGUAAAGGGUGCGUAGACGGGAAAACAAGUUAGUUGUGAAAUCCCUCGGCUUAACUGAGGAACUGCAACUAAAACUAU